Molecule: long non-coding RNA, 1197 nt
Organism: Panthera uncia (snow leopard)
Lineage: Eukaryota; Metazoa; Chordata; Mammalia; Carnivora; Felidae
Exons: 4
Source: RefSeq, a predicted model, not a curated record
GCCAUUGAGAAGUACAGAGGAAGGGGAGAAAGGGAGGGACGGGAAGGUAGCAGUCAUUUGGAGCCUCACCAUCCCCUCCUCCAGAGUAUCCACUGCUUGUGAUUUAUAUCCACACACAGAAGCAUAACACACAAGUGUGCUUGGCAGUGGCUCAUUGACGGGCUCACAGAUGAAACAACAGUCAGCUAACAUCCAGCAUUAAAUGGAAAAAAAAAAUAGCUACUUUCAUUCUUCAGUGUAAAGAGUAACUAUUGUAAGUUUCAAGUUUCAUUCGUUUAGCAAAUUUAUACUGAGUGCCGGGCACUGUUCUAGGCACUGGUGAGACAGUGAUGGACACACAACAAAGUGUUCUAUUCUCAUUGAGGAGCAACUUAAAAAGGUCUCGGAGGGGGUUGGUGAUGUGGAUGGGUGGGUGGUGAUGGGCUGGGGGCAGCGGGCCAAGCGACCAUCAGAUAAGGAUGGUCAGGGAGCCCUCUGUGAUGUCACAUGUCAGCAGAGACCUGAACAAAGAGAAAAAGGCGACAUGCAAAGAUCUGUUUGGGAAGAGUGGGCAUGUGCAAAGGCCCUGGGGUAUGAAAAGGUGUGGCACGUUUGGGGAAGGGAAAGAAGAAGGCUGGAGUGUUUGGAGGUGGGAGAAGGAGAUCAGAGAGCCGGGCAGAGGCCAGAUCACAAAGGCCUCAUCAUGACCUGUCAUGGCAAGAAGUUUGAAGGUCUCCUCAAUCCAGUGAGAAGCCACUAAAGGGCUUGAAGCAGCAGAGGAUUCAAUUUACGUUUUUAAAAGACUGGUCUGGCUGCUGUUUGGAAACGUAUCUUUGAGAGAAAAGCCAGGACACAAGGAGACAAAUACCAUUGAUGAACACGGCUUUGUUCCAGGUGGCAGCUGUAGGUCUGAGACGAAGUUGAAAGUCAAGUCCCAUAGGACCAGAGGACCGGCUGUGAGCUGGAUGUGCAGUGUCCUAACCUUGCUGAAGUAUUCUCUCCCUCAGCAUAGAGUCAGCUGUCCUUUCCAGAGAGCUUGUUGCUAAAGGAAAUUUCCAGUGGAUUCUCGGUCCCUUCUCCUCUGGGCUACCAAAGUCAUCGCUUUCCACAGGGCAGACUGGGAAGUAGGCUGCGGUCGUUGCUGAUGAGGGAGUUGUUUGCCUUCUCAAUGUUGACGUCAUCUCCCACGCAGAACACAUCGCAGGCUGCCUGUGGCAC